This 1369-nucleotide ribosomal RNA is filed under the name uncultured bacterium. RNAcentral's name for it is "bacterial SSU rRNA". It matches the Rfam family "Bacterial small subunit ribosomal RNA", at positions 28 to 1381 of the family's 1533-position model. The record is from RNAcentral.
GACGAACGCUGGCGGCGUGCCUAAUACAUGCAAGUAGAACGCUGAAGAGAGGAGCUUGCUCUUCUUGGAUGAGUUGCGAACGGGUGAGUAACGCGUAGGUAACCUGCCUUGUAGCGGGGGAUAACUAUUGGAAACGAUAGCUAAUACCGCAUAACAAUGGAUGACACAUGUCAUUUAUUUGAAAGGGGCAAUUGCUCCACUACAAGAUGGACCUGCGUUGUAUUAGCUAGUAGGUGAGGUAACGGCUCACCUAGGCGACGAUACAUAGCCGACCUGAGAGGGUGAUCGGCCACACUGGGACUGAGACACGGCCCAGACUCCUACGGGAGGCAGCAGUAGGGAAUCUUCGGCAAUGGGGGCAACCCUGACCGAGCAGCGCCGCGUGAGUGAAGAAGGUUUUCGGAUCGUAAAGCUCUGUUGUAAGUCAAGAACGAGUGUGAGAGUGGAAAGUUCACACUGUGACGGUAGCUUACCAGAAAGGGACGGCUAACUACGUGCCAGCAGCCGCGGUAAUACGUAGGUCCCGAGCGUUGUCCGGAUUUAUUGGGCGUAAAGCGAGCGCAGGCGGUUUGAUAAGUCUGAAGUUAAAGGCUGUGGCUCAACCAUAGUUCGCUUUGGAAACUGUCAAACUUGAGUGCAGAAGGGGAGAGUGGAAUUCCAUGUGUAGCGGUGAAGUGCGUAGAUAUAUGGAGGAACACCGGUGGCGAAAGCGGCUCUCUGGUCUGUAACUGACGCUGAGGCUCGAAAGCGUGGGGAGCGAACAGGAUUAGAUACCCUGGUAGUCCACGCCGUAAACGAUGAGUGCUAGGUGUUGGAUCCUUUCCGGGAUUCAGUGCCGCAGCUAACGCAUUAAGCACUCCGCCUGGGGAGUACGACCGCAAGGUUGAAACUCAAAGGAAUUGACGGGGGCCCGCACAAGCGGUGGAGCAUGUGGUUUAAUUCGAAGCAACGCGAAGAACCUUACCAGGUCUUGACAUCCCGAUGCUAUUUCUAGAGAUAGAAAGUUACUUCGGUACAUCGGUGACAGGUGGUGCAUGGUUGUCGUCAGCUCGUGUCGUGAGAUGUUGGGUUAAGUCCCGCAACGAGCGCAACCCCUAUUGUUAGUUGCCAUCAUUCAGUUGGGCACUCUAGCGAGACUGCCGGUAAUAAACCGGAGGAAGGUGGGGAUGACGUCAAAUCAUCAUGCCCCUUAUGACCUGGGCUACACACGUGCUACAAUGGUUGGUACAACGAGUUGCGAGUCGGUGACGGCAAGCUAAUCUCUUAAAGCCAAUCUCAGUUCGGAUUGUAGGCUGCAACUCGCCUACAUGAAGUCGGAAUCGCUAGUAAUCGCGGAUCAGCACGCCGCGGUGAAUACGUUCCCGGGCCU